UGAGGAAUAUUGGUCAAUGGGCGCAAGCCUGAACCAGCCAUCCCGCGUGCAGGAAGACGGCCCUAUGGGUUGUAAACUGCUUUUCCAGGGAGAGAAACUUGCGUACGCGUUGCGCAAUUGACGGUACCCUGGGAAUAAGCAUCGGCUAACUCCGUGCCAGCAGCCGCGGUAAUACGGAGGAUGCGAGCGUUAUCCGGAUUCAUUGGGUUUAAAGGGUGCGUAGGCGGACUAUUAAGUCAGUGGUGAAAUCCUGCAGCUUAACUGCAGAACUGCCAUUGAUACUGAUAGCCUUGAGUUUGGUUAAGGUAGGCGGAAUGUGUAAUGUAGCGGUGAAAUGCUUAGAUAUUACACAGAACACCAAUUGCGUAGGCAGCUUACUGAGCCGACACUGACGCUGAG
RNAcentral lists this ribosomal RNA (399 nucleotides) under uncultured bacterium. Its description in RNAcentral is "bacterial SSU rRNA". It matches the Rfam family "Bacterial small subunit ribosomal RNA", at positions 355 to 750 of the family's 1533-position model. The record is from RNAcentral.